This 468-nucleotide ribosomal RNA is filed under the name uncultured bacterium. RNAcentral describes it as "partial 16S ribosomal RNA". It matches the Rfam family "Bacterial small subunit ribosomal RNA", at positions 28 to 507 of the family's 1533-position model. The record is from RNAcentral.
GACGAACGCUGGCGGCGUGCUUAACACAUGCAAGUCGAACGGAAAGGCCCUGCUCUUGUGGGGUGCUCGAGUGGCGAACGGGUGAGUAACACGUGAGUAACCUGCCCUUGACUCUGGGAUAACUUCAGGAAACUGGGGCUAAUACCGGAUAGGAGCUCCUGCUGCAUGGUGGGGGUUGGAAAGUUUCGGCGGUUGGGGACGGACGCGCGGCUUGUCAGCUUGUUGGUGGGGUAGUGGCUUACCAAGGCUUUGACGGGUGGCCGGCCUGAGAGGGUGACCGGCCACAUUGGGACUGAGAUACGGCCCAGCCUCCUACGGGAGUGAGCAGUGGGGGAUAUUGCACAAUGGGCGGAAGCCUGAUGCGGCAACGCCGCGUGCGGGAUGACGGCCUUCGGGUUGUAAACCGCUUUCGCCUGUGACGAAGCGUGAGUGACGGUAAUGGGUAAAGAAGCACCGGCUAACUACGUG